GACGAACCGUGCGAACGUUAUUCGGAAUCACUGGGCUUAAAGCGCGUGUAGGCGGAAGAGUACGUCCGUCGCUGAAAUCCCCCGGCUCAACCGGGGAAGUGGCGCGGAUACGGCUUUUCUGGAGGGGCGUAGGGGGACCUGGAACUUCCGGUGGAGCGGUGAAAUGCGUUGAGAUCGGAAGGAACGCCCGUGGCGAAAGCGAGGUCCUGGACGCCUACUGACGCUGAGACGCGAAAGCCAGGGGAGCGAACGGG
Molecule: ribosomal RNA, 254 nt
Filed under: uncultured bacterium
Lineage: Bacteria
Description: partial 16S ribosomal RNA
Rfam family: Bacterial small subunit ribosomal RNA
Source: RNAcentral